Molecule: ribosomal RNA, 497 nt
Filed under: uncultured bacterium
Lineage: Bacteria
Description: partial 16S ribosomal RNA
Rfam family: Bacterial small subunit ribosomal RNA
Source: RNAcentral
GAUGAACGCUGGCGGCGUGCCUAAUACAUGCCAGUAGAACGCUGAAGCUUGGUGCUUGCACCGAGCGGAUGAGUUGCGAACGGGUGAGUAACGCGUAGGUAACCUGCCUCUUAGCGGGGGAUAACUAUUGGAAACGAUAGCUAAUACCGCAUAAAAGUCGAUAUCGCAUGAUAUUGAUUUGAAAGGUGCAAAUGCAUCACUAAGAGAUGGACCUGCGUUGUAUUAGCUAGUUGGUGAGGUAACGGCUCACCAAGGCGACGAUACAUAGCCGACCUGAGAGGGUGGUCGGCCACACUGGGACUGAGACACGGCCCAGACUCCUACGGGAGGCAGCAGUAGGGAAUCUUCGGCAAUGGGGGCAACCCUGACCGAGCAACGCCGCGUGAGUGAAGAAGGUUUUCGGAUCGUAAAGCUCUGUUGUAAGAGAAGAACGAGUGUGAGAGUGGAAAGUUCACACUGUGACGGUAACUUACCAGAAAGGGACGGCUAACUACGUG